UUGAAGAGUUUGAUCAUGGCUCAGAUUGAACGCUGGCGGCAGGCCUAACACAUGCAAGUCGAGCGGUAGCACAGAGAGCUUGCUCUCGGGUGACGAGCGGCGGACGGGUGAGUAAUGUCUGGGAAACUGCCUGAUGGAGGGGGAUAACUACUGGAAACGGUAGCUAAUACCGCAUAAUGUCGCAAGACCAAAGUGGGGGACCUUCGGGCCUCAUGCCAUCAGAUGUGCCCAGAUGGGAUUAGCUAGUAGGUGGGGUAACGGCUCACCUAGGCGACGAUCCCUAGCUGGUCUGAGAGGAUGACCAGCCACACUGGAACUGAGACACGGUCCAGACUCCUACGGGAGGCAGCAGUGGGGAAUAUUGCACAAUGGGCGCAAGCCUGAUGCAGCCAUGCCGCGUGUGUGAAGAAGGCCUUCGGGUUGUAAAGCACUUUCAGCGGGGAGGAAGGCGGUGAGGUUAAUAACCUCAUCGAUUGACGUUACCCGCAGAAGAAGCACCGGCUAACUCCGUGCCAGCAGCCGCGGUAAUACGGAGGGUGCAAGCGUUAAUCGGAAUUACUGGGCGUAAAGCGCACGCAGGCGGUCUGUCAAGUCGGAUGUGAAAUCCCCGGGCUUAACCUGGGAACUGCAUUCGAAACUGGCAGGCUAGAGUCUUGUAGAGGGGGGUAGAAUUCCAGGUGUAGCGGUGAAAUGCGUAGAGAUCUGGAGGAAUACCGGUGGCGAAGGCGGCCCCCUGGACAAAGACUGACGCUCAGGUGCGAAAGCGUGGGGAGCAAACAGGAUUAGAUACCCUGGUAGUCCACGCCGUAAACGAUGUCGAUUUGGAGGUUGUGCCCUUGAGGCGUGGCUUCCGGAGCUAACGCGUUAAAUCGACCGCCUGGGGAGUACGGCCGCAAGGUUAAAACUCAAAUGAAUUGACGGGGGCCCGCACAAGCGGUGGAGCAUGUGGUUUAAUUCGAUGCAACGCGAAGAACCUUACCUGGUCUUGACAUCCACAGAACUUAGCAGAGAUGCUUUGGUGCCUUCGGGAACUGUGAGACAGGUGCUGCAUGGCUGUCGUCAGCUCGUGUUGUGAAAUGUUGGGUUAAGUCCCGCAACGAGCGCAACCCUUAUCCUUUGUUGCCAGCGGUUCGGCCGGGAACUCAAAGGAGACUGCCAGUGAUAAACUGGAGGAAGGUGGGGAUGACGUCAAGUCAUCAUGGCCCUUACGACCAGGGCUACACACGUGCUACAAUGGCAUAUACAAAGAGAAGCGACCUCGCGAGAGCAAGCGGACCUCAUAAAGUAUGUCGUAGUCCGGAUUGGAGUCUGCAACUCGACUCCAUGAAGUCGGAAUCGCUAGUAAUCGUAGAUCAGAAUGCUACGGUGAAUACGUUCCCGGGCCUUGUACACACCGCCCGUCACACCAUGGGAGUGGGUUGCAAAAGAAGUAGGUAGCUUAACCUUCGGGAGGGCGCUUACCACUUUGUGAUUCAUGACUGGGGUGAAGUCGUAACAAGGUAACCGUAGGGGAACCUGCGGUUGGAUCACCUCCUU
This 1536-nucleotide ribosomal RNA is filed under the name Klebsiella pneumoniae. RNAcentral's name for it is "16S ribosomal RNA". It matches the Rfam family "Bacterial small subunit ribosomal RNA". Lineage: Bacteria; Pseudomonadati; Pseudomonadota; Gammaproteobacteria; Enterobacterales; Enterobacteriaceae. The record is from RNAcentral.